AUGUGCUUUCAUGGACUUCAGGAAUAAGCUUUAAAAACUAUCCUCCUUUGCUCAAUCACUCUGACUUUAAUAGCUAAGAAGAACUUAAAAUCAAGAACUAACAAAAAUGGAUAGAUGAAUUAUGAAGAAGAAGUCAGUGGCAGGUGAUCCCCAAAGUGCAAACCUGCCUAAUAUCUGCCAGAGCCAAGCCAUCGGAUUAGGAGUCUUCUAGGGCUCCCUCAAUCACUGGACUUGCUGAAUGGCAGUUUCAUGAACUCAUGGCUCUCUGGAAUGGAGUGGAAAGGAGAAGAGAGGUGAA
This is a long non-coding RNA of Ornithorhynchus anatinus (platypus), 298 nucleotides long. RefSeq lists it as uncharacterized. The transcript is spliced from 3 exons. The record is from RefSeq and is a predicted model, not a curated record. Lineage: Eukaryota; Metazoa; Chordata; Mammalia; Monotremata; Ornithorhynchidae.